CCUAGGGGAGGCAGCAGUGAGGAAUAUUGGUCAAUGGGCGGGAGCCUGAACCAGCCAAGUCGCGUGAGGGAAGACGGUCCUACGGAUUGUAAACCUCUUUUGCCGGGGAGCAACGGGGUCCUUGCGAGGGCCCGAUGAGAGUACCCGGAGAAAAAGCAUCGGCUAACUCCGUGCCAGCAGCCGCGGUAAUACGGAGGAUGCGAGCAUUAUCCGGAUUUAUUGGGUUUAAAGGGGGCGCAGGCGGAGGUGCAAGUCAGCGGUCAAAUUGCGGGGCUCAACCCCGUACUGCCGUUGAAACUGCAUCCCUUGAGUGCGCGAGAAGUAUGCGGAAUGCGUGGUGUAGCGGUGAAAUGCAUAGAUAUCACGCAGAACUCCGAUUGCGAAGGCAGCAUACCGGCGCGCAACUGACGCUCAUGCACGAAAGCGUGGGUAUCGAACAGGAUUAGAUACCCUAGUAGUC
Molecule: ribosomal RNA, 460 nt
Filed under: uncultured bacterium
Lineage: Bacteria
Description: partial 16S ribosomal RNA
Rfam family: Bacterial small subunit ribosomal RNA
Source: RNAcentral